Molecule: long non-coding RNA, 4974 nt
Filed under: Equus asinus (donkey)
Lineage: Eukaryota; Metazoa; Chordata; Mammalia; Perissodactyla; Equidae
Description: lncRNA (ENSEASG00005035521.1)
Source: RNAcentral
GGUGGGUCGAGUGGAGGGGAGAGGAACAGAGAGCCGAGCUGUCCUGUGACAGUGGAAUUUGUACCAGAAGCGACUGUAUGGUCAGGCCCAGCGGAAGACGGGGUGGUGAGGCAAAUCCCAGCCGAGGGAUCUUUAAAAGCCUCUCUCAGCGAGGCCGGUCCUUCUCGGUGAUGGAGGGGCUAUAAAUCACAUGCUCUGCCCGGCGUCUCCAUCAGGCCUUCCUCUCCGCUCCGGAGCUGGGAGUGAAGUCCAGUUGCCACAAGGAAUCGGCACCUGAUGUGGUGGUCCCCCCACCCCCAGGCGCCCUGCCCGGAGGCUCAAGAUGAACGUGAGGCGGUCACACUGGCUCUAAGGACAAAGAUUUGCAGAAACGGUAGAGCUGAUCGUACACGCAGAACUACCACGUUCCUGGCAGACAUCUCCUCCCUUCACGCAUCUUAGAGCAGAAGGCGCAGCUGCAACCUGAGAGAACAUGGUCCUAAAUGCAGAAUCCUCGUGAUGGGGAAGUCAAGGACUGAUUGCUUUAGGUGAGUAAGAUGCUUCAACAUCUUCCAAAGCAGAUGCAUCGUCAGAAAAUCUUCUGGGCCGAGAACACUCUGCAGGAUCCCCCGAUGGAAGACGAGGCUUGUCAGAUGCCAACAGACUGAGAGCAAUAAAGUGUAAAUAAUUUAGAGCUCCUUGAUAUUAUCCUGCCUACUCAUCACGUACAUCUUUAAUAAUUGAUUCAGUCUUUAAAGAAAUUCUCUCUACGUAACUUACAGCAUUCUCUCUGUUUUUGGCCUGUUGACAACAGCAGACCGUUUCUGUGUGGGACCCGUCCUUCCCGGGUGAGGCACGUUUGUUUGCACAGGAGACGUUUUCCUGCUGUUGGUUUCUAUGGCUGUGUUCUGCACAUGCUCAGUGAGCAUUAUGGUUCUGAUCAGAAUUCUCCUUAAGGUCCUCACCAUUGUCAGGAACUGUUUUAGAGUUUUAUAUCUAUUGACAUGAUUCCCACAGCAAUCCUAUUAUCGCCUCUUAUUUCUCUAUUUUACAGAUGAAGAAAAUGGUUAAAUCACUUGAAUAGAAUGCCCCUAUCGCACCUGUCUACUCCCGACACUGACAGAUCACUGCCUGGCGCAGUCACCAUGGGAACAAGGCUGUAGAUAACUCGUACCACGGUGUUAACUGGGUUAAUUUUGUGUAGAAAAAAUCGCCUCGGUUCAAAAGAAGCUGGUUCCUUUAAAUAUCUGAUUACGGAGCCCGGCUAACUCACUCACACAGAGAGCUCUGGGGAGGGGGAAGGGAAGUGACGGGGAUGGAAAACAGCUGAGGAAUAGUGACAUCAGAUGCUCCCAGUACAACAGCCAGAGAGAGGACGCCAGCCAGGCAGAACGUUAGAGGUAACGGAAGGGACCUGGAGCAUAUUUAUAUUUUGUAGAAUGCAGUUUGCUCCAGAAAUGGAAAUUAUUCCAGGAAGGUCAGAGAGAAGACGCUGCUGUAGAUGGAAAGUGCAGCUGAGCAGAAACCCCAGGACCCAAAAAAGAAUCGGAUCAUGACACUGUGACUCUAAGUAACUUAUCGACUGCAGAGCAGGACUUUCAGCGGACUUACGCCCUGGGGCUUUGCCCUGUAAAAACGGCUGAGCAGGUCAAAGCAGAGGUGCCACACAUUAGGAACUGCAUACUGUCUCUUCUUAUUGUGCACUUUUAUUUUCUGUUUAACUUGCACAUGCCAUUUAUUUGUUUUUUUAAAAUUGAGAUAUAAGAUACUACCAAAAAAGGUCAAAUGUGUAAAGUAUACGAAUCUAUGUGUAUAGCUUCACGAAUCUCACAUACAUGUAUAUAAACAUACAUCAAUGUAAUCAACAUCCAGAUCAAGAUACAAAAUACUUCCCCCACCCUAGAAAGCUCCCCAGCGAUGCCCAGCAAGCCCACCAGAAGGAAAGGGCAUCCUUACUUCGAGCACCUGAGUUAGUUCUGCCUGUCCUCGAUAAACGCGAGAAAUGAGUCAGGCAGCAUUCGCUUCUGGCUUUUUACUCAACACAAGGUGUGUAAGAUUCAUCCGCGUUAUUGUGCACAUCAGUCGUUGGUCUUUAAUGUUGUGGUUUACAUUGUGUUGGAUGACUAUACUCCUCAUUUAUUGAUCUCUUCUCCUGUUGACGGACAUUUGUGCUGUGUCCAGCUUGAGGCAGUUAGGAAUAAAGCUUUGGUGAAAAUUGUUAUGUGAUUUUCUGUUGUUGUACCUAUGUGCCCAUUUCUUCUCCAUAGGUCCCUAGGAGGGGCGUGUCUGGGCGAUGGGGCAGGCACGUGCUCAGCUGCUGUUGAUACUUUGGAGGACGCUGCAGCUCAUCCCUCAGCGUCUCCUUCAGAUGGUUCCUCCUCGCUCCUGGGACUGGUGCCAGCUGCCAGCCCUCUUUGGCAAUUGCUUCUCCUUCAGCUCACACCUAUGGCCACACGGGGGAUCCCUUAUGACCAGAGUCGAAGCCAGCUCUACUACCCGAGGUCUACAGAGUGAGCCAGACUUCACACCAAAGCAACUAUGUGAGUGGGCACACAACUACGGGGUCUACUAGUUAUAUCAAAUGCCGUACGACCCAGAAGCAGAAAGCCUGAUAGAGUGAUGGGACAACCUGUUGAAGGAACAGCUAAAUUGCCAGUUUGGAGGUGGUCCCUUGCAAGGAUAGAUGCCAUCUUCCGGGACCCAACAUGCAUUCUAUAUCAGUGACAUUUAUAUGGUGUUGCGUCCCCAGUAGAUUGAGUACGUUGGUCCAGGAACCAAGGGGUGGGAGGAGGAAGGCCUCACAUUCUAUGACUCCCAGUGAUGCCCUGAGAGACUUCAUGCUCUGUCCCUGCCACCCUGGGCUCUGUGGAUUUAGAGGUUCUGCUUCCCAGAAGGGCACCCUUCCACCAGGGGAUGCAGCAGGAGCACCAUUGAACCAUGGCUGCUGCCUGAGCUUUUUACGCUCCUUCUGCCAAGAGACCAACUGGCAAGAAAAGAAACCACCAUUCUGGCAGAAAUAGUUGAUCCAGGUCAUCAGGAGGAGGGCAGGGAGGAACAUAAUUGACAUCCAGGUGACCCAUUUGGGUGCCUCUUGAUACUCCUGUGCCCAAUUGUGGUGUUAAAAGGACAGCUGCAGCAACCCUGGCCUGAGAAGGGCAUGGUAAGCAGGGACUCAGCCUGCUCAGGAGUGAGGAUCUGGGUCACACCAGCAGAGAAGCCACUGAGACCAGCAGAGUUGCUAACUGAUGGUGAAGGAAAUCCAGAUCGGGUCAUAGGAGAUGGGGAAGUUCAGCUGCCUAUUACAUCACAGAAGGUCAUCAAAGCAGUGGGAGAGGCGGCCGAUGCCUUCCUCUCGCAGUCACAGCCGUGGAGCGAGGGGAAGACGAGCCGAGGAGUUUUCUGGAGCAGGUGGUAAAUGUGCAAGGAACAGACUACUCCUGGGUUAGCUGGGGGCUGCGUGUGUAGAAGAUGAAAUGGGAAAAUGUGGUGCUCAGGGGCAUGCAUUCUCAAGCCCAAAUGCCCGGAUUCCGAUGCUGAUUCACAGCUUCCCAGCUGGGUGACUUUGGAGUCGUGCCAGGACAUACGCCCCAGGCUGGGGAAUCGUCAUGUCCCUCGUCCAGCAGACCCCAGCAAGCCGACCCCCACGGAAGCCCGUGGACAGGAGUGCGUCCCUCUUCCAGAGUGAACACCUGGCUUUCACAAUCCCAUCACGCCAACAACAAAUGCCUGGAGGUUUUCACCUAGUAUUUGCUUUGUGCUACUAUUUGGCCUUUGCCUGUUUUCUCCACUUUCUCUCCUCCUGUCCCCUCGUGAACCCCCUGCACGUCCAAUAUUCCCCUGCGGCCGCUCUUGUCAAGGUCACUGAUGAUGAUACCAAUCCUGAUAUCAGUUUCCCCGCAUUAAACCCAGCAUAUAUGGGGUUAAAACCAAAACACUCAUUGCUUGCUUACUCUCUGGCUUCCUGGCUCCAGAAUCCACUAUGCUCCAUGGAGACAGACACCGUCAAGGACAAGCACCUGGACUAUCUCCUCCCCACAAAGAGACACAGACUAGUGGGAAAGCUUCUGACCAGCAAGGUCAUGAGCUCCCUCCUCUCUGCAAGUGUCUCCAGGCCAAAGACAGGCUGGUGGGAAAGCUCUGACCAGCAAGGCCAUAUGCUCCCCCUCCCCUACCUAAAACCCCAAAUAAAAACCCUUCCUUUUAGCUUUUUCGGGGAGUUUGGGAUUUGAGCGUUAGCUGUCCUCUCUCCUUGCUCAGCGCUGUACAAAAAUAAAGUUCCUACUUUCUUCCACCACACCCGGUGUCAGAGAUUGGCUUGCUGUGCAACGGGACCGGCCGGAAAUAAUGGGUACCUUGGCAACCCUCUGGGCUCCAUUUGUUUUGAAGUCGCCGCGACGCCCCGGCCAAAUUUUGAAAAACUUCUUAUUAAAUACCUUGUUACUUACUUACAUGAUACAGGCCCACCUUCAGGAACCCACCAGCAUCACUGCCUUAUUAAAAGACUAGUUCAAUGAGAUGAAAUGACCUACACCCCAUUUCAGCAGGAAGUAGCUAGAUCGGUCGCUGCCCCAAAUCCCUCAAGAUUGAGGGAUGGACAUAAAAUAGGGGGGAAGUUGAUACCGAUCCUGAUAUCAGUUUCCCCGCAUUAAACCCAGCAUAUAUGGGGUUAAAACCAAAACACUCAUUGCCUGCUUACUCUCUGGCUUCCUGGCUCCAGAAUCCACUAUGCUCCAUGGAGACAGACACCGUCAAGGACAAGCACCUGGACUAUCUCCUCCCCACAAAGAGACACAGACCAGCAAGGUCAUGAGCUCCCUCCUCUCUGCAAGUGUCUCCAGGCCAAAGACAGGCUGGUGGGAAAGCUCUGACCAGCAAGGCCAUAUGCUCCCCCUCCCCUACCUAAAACCCCAAAUAAAAACCCUUCCUUUUAGCUUUUUCGGGGAGUUUGGGAUUUGAGCGUUAGCUGUCCUCUCUCCUUGCUCAGCGCUGUGCAAA